AGAGUUUGAUUCUGGCUCAGGAUGAACGCUGGCGGCGUGCUUAACACAUGCAAGUCGAACGAAGCACUUUAUUUGAUUUCCUUCGGGACUGAUUAUUUUGUGACUGAGUGGCGGACGGGUGAGUAACGCGUGGGUAACCUGCCUUGUACAGGGGGAUAACAGUUGGAAACGGCUGCUAAUACCGCAUAAGCGCACGGCAUCGCAUGAUGCAGUGUGAAAAACUCCGGUGGUAUAAGAUGGACCCGCGUUGGAUUAGCUAGUUGGUGAGGUAACGGCCCACCAAGGCGACGAUCCAUAGCCGACCUGAGAGGGUGACCGGCCACAUUGGGACUGAGACACGGCCCAAACUCCUACGGGAGGCAGCAGUGGGGAAUAUUGCACAAUGGGCGAAAGCCUGAUGCAGCGACGCCGCGUGAGCGAAGAAGUAUUUCGGUAUGUAAAGCUCUAUCAGCAGGGAAGAUAAUGACGGUACCUGACUAAGAAGCACCGGCUAAAUACGUGCCAGCAGCCGCGGUAAUACGUAUGGUGCAAGCGUUAUCCGGAUUUACUGGGUGUAAAGGGAGCGUAGACGGCACGGCAAGCCAGAUGUGAAAGCCCGGGGCUCAACCCCGGGACUGCAUUUGGAACUGCUGAGCUAGAGUGUCGGAGAGGCAAGUGGAAUUCCUAGUGUAGCGGUGAAAUGCGUAGAUAUUAGGAGGAACACCAGUGGCGAAGGCGGCUUGCUGGACGAUGACUGACGUUGAGGCUCGAAAGCGUGGGGAGCAAACAGGAUUAGAUACCCUGGUAGUCCACGCCGUAAACGAUGGAUACUAGGUGUGGGAAGGAUUGACCCCUUCGUGCCGCAGUUAACACAAUAAGUAUUCCCACCUGGGGAGUACGGCCGCAAGGGUGAAACUCAAAGGAAUUGACGGGGGCCCGCACAAGCAGUGGAGUAUGUGGUUUAAUUGGAAGCAACGCGAAGAACCUUACCAGGCCUUGACAUCCCGAUGACCGGUCUAGAGAUAGACCUUCUUUUCGGAGCAUCGGAGACAGGUGGUGCAUGGUUGUCGUCAGCUCGUGUCGUGAGAUGUUGGGUUAAGUCCCGCAACGAGCGCAACCCUUACGGUUAGUUGAUACGCAAGAUCACUCUAGCCGGACUGCCGUUGACAAAACGGAGGAAGGUGGGGACGACGUCAAAUCAUCAUGCCCCUUAUGGCCUGGGCUACACACGUACUACAAUGGCAGUCAUACAGAGGGAAGCAAAAUCGCGAGGUGGAGCAAAUCCCUAAAAGCUGUCCCAGUUCAGAUUGCAGGCUGCAACCCGCCUGCAUGAAGUCGGAAUUGCUAGUAAUCGCGGAUCAGCAUGCCGCGGUGAAUACGUUCCCGGGCCUUGCACACACCGCCCGUCA
RNAcentral lists this ribosomal RNA (1388 nucleotides) under uncultured bacterium. RNAcentral describes it as "bacterial SSU rRNA". It matches the Rfam family "Bacterial small subunit ribosomal RNA". The record is from RNAcentral.